This 243-nucleotide ribosomal RNA is filed under the name uncultured bacterium. Its description in RNAcentral is "partial 16S ribosomal RNA". It matches the Rfam family "Bacterial small subunit ribosomal RNA", at positions 111 to 354 of the family's 1533-position model. The record is from RNAcentral.
UAACGCGUGGAUAACCUGCCUCAUACAGGGGGAUAACAGUUAGAAAUGACUGCUAAUACCGCAUAAGCACCCGGGAGCGCAUGCUCCUGAGUGAAAAGCUCCGGCGGUAUGAGAUGGAUCCGCGUCUGAUUAGCUGGUUGGCGGGGUAACGGCCCACCAAGGCGACGAUCAGUAGCCGACCUGAGAGGGUGGCCGGCCACAUUGGGACUGAGACACGGCCCAAACUCCUACGGAAGGCAGCAG